UACGUAGGGUGCAAGCGUUGUCCGGAAUUAUUGGGCGUAAAGAGCUCGUAGGCGGUCUGUCGCGUCUGCUGUGAAAACUCGGGGCUUAACCCCGGGCCUGCAGUGGGUACGGGCAGACUAGAGUGCGGUAGGGGAGACUGGAAUUCCUGGUGUAGCGGUGAAAUGCGCAGAUAUCAGGAGGAACACCGGUGGCGAAGGCGGUUCUCUGGGCAUUACCUGACGCUGAGGAGCGAAAGUGUGGGGAGCGAACGGG
This 253-nucleotide ribosomal RNA is filed under the name uncultured bacterium. Its description in RNAcentral is "partial 16S ribosomal RNA". It matches the Rfam family "Bacterial small subunit ribosomal RNA", at positions 524 to 776 of the family's 1533-position model. The record is from RNAcentral.